CAGAGUUAUCCAACUCCCAAACCCAUGUGAACUUAUCUCUUUGUUGCCUCGGCGCAAGCUACCCGGGACCUCGCGCCCCGGGCGGCCCGCCGGCGGACAAACCAAAACUCUUGUUAUCUUAGUUGAUUAUCUGAGUGUCUUAUUUAAUAAGUUAC
This 155-nucleotide unclassified non-coding RNA is filed under the name soil metagenome. RNAcentral's name for it is "partial internal transcribed spacer 1". The record is from RNAcentral.